Molecule: long non-coding RNA, 7277 nt
Filed under: Sus scrofa (pig)
Lineage: Eukaryota; Metazoa; Chordata; Mammalia; Artiodactyla; Suidae
Description: lncRNA (ENSSSCG00015017489.1)
Source: RNAcentral
UUUUUUUGCUAAGAUAGUUAUGGCCUAUGGAUUUGAAUUGGAUUUUGUAGUUUUUUUUUUUCAUUAGUUAGUCAAAGAUAUUUGAGGUCUAUCACAUUCUUCCCAUACUGAAUGAAAUAUAGUAUUAUUUUAUUUCUUCUUGCAAUUUUUUUGUUUGUUUUUUCUCAGCUUAAAAUAGGAGUACUCAUUCUUAUGCCAAAGAGUAUGAAAAGUCCCAGGAAGAAUUUGGCAUUUUUUCCUAGAGAAUACAUUUUACUUGAGGAAAAUUGUCAGUUGCAAAAUGGGGGAGGCUAAUUAAUUUAACACAUUUUUAUGUUAAAAUAAAUAUGCUAUAUUGUGCUAGAAUUUAUACAUAUUAAAAAAGAAUAGCACACAAGUCUUCAAAUAGCUAUUGAGCUGGCUGCCAGAAUUUUCAGCUUCUCAUUCUGUCUCUGGGUGAGAUUUAUGCUUUCUAAAACUGGUCUUAAAGAUGGGGCAUUUAUACCUGUCACUCUGGAUGCUAUUCUAAACAGACAUCAAGAAGAUGUCAUAACAGAAUCACAAGCCCCAAAAUAAAACCACGCAUAUAUGGUCAGCUAAAGUUUGUCAAGGGAGCUAAGAAUACUCAGUGGAGAAAAGACAAUAUCUUCAAUAAAUGGUGCUGGUGCAGGGAAAAUUAGAUAUUCACAUGCGAAAGAAUGAAACCAGACCCCUAUACUACACCACUCACAAAAACUAACUCAAAAUGGAUUACACACUUAAAUGUAAGCCCUAAAACCAUAAAAUUCCUGGAAGAAAGCACGGACAAAGAACAUGAGUCUUGGCAAUGACUUUUUGGAUAUGAUACCUAAAGCUCAAGAAACAAAAUAAAAAAUGAACAAGUGGGACUACCCAAACUAAAAAAAAAACUUGUUCACAGCAGAAGAAACAAUCAAGAAAUAAAAAGGCAUCUUAUGGAAUAGGAAAAUAUUUGCAAACCACAUUUCUUAGAUGGAGUUAAUAUCCAAAAUUCAUGACACUCAUACAAUUAAUACCCUAACCCACAAAUAAUCCAAUUGAAAAAUGAGCAAAAGGCCUGAAUAGAUAUUUUUCAAAGAAGAUAUCCACACGUCCAACAAGUACAUGGAGAGGUAUACAAUGUAAUUAAAGGUCAAGAAAAUGAAAAUCAAAACCACGAUAUCGGUUCACACCUCUUAGAAUAGCUAUAUCAAAAAGAACAGAGGUGACAAGUAUUGGCAGAGAAAGGGAACACUUGUGCAUUUUUGGUGGGAAUGUAAAUUGAUAGAGACACUAUGGAAGACAGUAUGGAAGUUCUUCAAGGAAGAAAGAAAGAGAAAAAGAACUGUAUAACCCAGCAAUUCCACUGUGAAAUAAGUCAGAGACAGAAAGAUAAAUAGUAUAUGAUCCCAUAUGUAUGCGGAAUCUUAAAAAAAAAACAAAACCCAAAUUCAUAGAAACAGAGAUCAAAUUGGUGUUUGCCAGAGAUGAGAUUCAAGGAGUUGGGGGGGAAAUGGAUCAAGGUGGUCAAAAGGUACAAACUUCCACUCAUAAGAGAAAUAUGUUCUAGGAUGUAAUGUAAAGCAUGAUGACUAUGAUUAAAAUGCUGCAUUGUUUUUUGAAAUUUGCUAAAAGUGAAUCUUAAAAGUUCUCAUUACAAGGAAACAAAUCUGUGACUAUGUGAGGUAAUGGCUGUUGACUGAACUUGUAACUGUUUUGCAAUAUAUGCACUCAUCAAAUCAUUGCUAUACACUUUAAAUUUAUACAGUUUUCUAUCAAUUAUAUCAUUAAAACUAGAAAUAAAGGGAGUUCCCACCAUAGCACAGUCAGUUAAGAAUCUGACUGCAGUGGCUGGGGGUGCUGCGGAGGUGUGGGUUUGAUGCCCAGAUGGGUACAGGGGCAAAGGAUCCAAUAUUGCCACAGUUGCAGUGUAGGUCGCAGCUGUGGCUCAGAUUCAAUCCCUGGUCCAGGAACUUCCAUAUGCCACGAGUGUGGCCAUAAAAUUAAACAAAAACAAAAACAAAACCCAGAAGUAAAGAUGUCAAACCGCCCAAAGCGGUACUUUAUACUAUGUUCACUACCUCACCUUCACCACACUCUUAUCAUAGAAGCACCUGUAAAAUGACAGUGAUUAUCUUACCACGUAACAAUUAUUUCAUGUCUCUUCAAAAUAUGAGUGUCUUGAGAGGAGGUUUUAUUUUCCUAAUUAUUUCUACAUCCACAGCUCCUAGCUCCUGUCAUGAAAAAAGUAUUUAAUGCGUGUGUUUUGGAGGAAUGAAUGUAGGAAUGAGUGUUAGGGACUCUCCAGGACAGACCGUAACUCAUGCACUCUGAUAAUGAGCCUAGGGUUACCCUCAUGUUUAGUCUGGGGUGAAAGUGGGCAUUACUGCGAGGUGAUGUGCUAGGCUGUGGAGUUAUAUGAGAACAAAUCUCACAAAUUUCUGCAGGGCAGAAACAAGGAGAGUGUCCUGGAAAAUCAAAUCUGGUCCAAUAAAGGGACUAGAUUUUUUACAUUAAAGAAGUGUAUGUACUGCAGAUUUACUGGAAGGAGAGACUCUGUCCAUGAUCAUCUACUCUCUGGCAGCCAGACAAAGGGCAGAAAAAUAAUACAGUGAAAAUAAUAUGCUUUGAAGGCUCUGUCACUGACCACAACUGAAUUAACCUUUGCAGUCAUCACGUGUGUCAUUAUUCCAGUAACUUAUGACCAAAAGAUUGCAUCAUUCAGACCAUAAGCAUAUUAGGUCAUCUUUGCCAUGGUGCAUUUUAUCAGGCAUCCAGACAUGGUCUGGGAGUUAGUGUAUUUUUUGACUGGUAAAGGAUGAAUUGACAAUGAAAAUAAAGUGAGUUUUGCACAUGGAAGUUGAGCCUGAAUUACAGAGCAGGUGACUAUGUCUAAGUUUGGAAGAGAAGAGGAUUUCAUCUAUGUAACAAAUAUUAUAAUGCUAUGUAUGUGCUAAGCACUGUUCCAACCAAAAGAGGGGCAAAAUGAAAUAUGAGUAACAUCUCAAAUAAAUAUCAAAAUAUUUGCUUUUCAAUGAUAUGUAUAUUUAAGAAAUUUGAAGUCUGAACAACUUUACACUUUGUCCUUUAUAAUAGAUAUUUUAUGGUAGGUAUUCAAUGAAUGAUGCAGGAGCGUAUACCUCCCUGAAGAGUGAAGAGAAACAUUUUCUCUACCUAUCCUGACCCUGCCUGAUGAAAGAUCUGAGGCAUCAGUACGUAAUAGAACAGUAACUUUCACAUUCCAAUUGCAAAUUUAAGUUGCAGGCAAUCCAAGAAUGGACCAUGGGCUUAAUAUACCCUGGUUACAACCCACGUCUACCACUGAGGAGUCAUGUGAGCCUUGGGCAAUGUACUUUGACUUAGUUUCCUCAUUAGGAAGCAGAAGUAAACUGUUUAUUAUCCCACCUAACUUCUUACAAUUAUAAAGACGAAGUGAGAGGAUCUGUAUACAGUGUUCAGAGCGGUAAUUGACACUGGGGGAAUACUCAGUAAAAGGGAGCUGUCAUCUGCCUGCAGUCAUGGUAGACACCAGAAGCAUAAGACUAAGUAGGUUUCUAAAAACACCUUUCUUGGAAGUAGAUAUUGUCUUUUUUUUUUUUAAUAUUUUGGAAUGGGAAGUUCAGUCCCGAAUGGUUGAUCAAAGAUAAAAUCCAAAACUAUUAGGCACUCGUGUCCUCAGAACUAUGCUACAUGCUAAGGAGGAUGCAAAUGACCCCAAAACACAUUUUUGUCCUGAAGAAAUUUAUAUUUAGGGCAUCAAGGCAAUAACAGAUAGAAAUAAUUAAAUAGUUAAAGACCGAUACAAUGAUUUAAAACCACUAUAAAAGAAAUGUCAUAAUUAGUAUUUGGUAGUCUAACUACCAAAACAGCCUUUGGAACUUUAAAACAGCCUUUGGAAUUUUACUGUUGACUUAAAUUAUUUAUAUUAUUACAUAACUUAAAUAUGUACAAACAUAAACCAGGUAUAAUCCGUAGGCUUUUAGCUCUUACAUGGUUAUAAACCCAAAAUAAAUUUAUAAAUUAAAUAUGAAAAAAUAACCAAGGCCACAAUUUCCAAUUAACAGCCAUCAGUUUAACAUGGUAAGUAACGUUGUUUUACUGAAAUUAAAUUGACAUAGAUUUUUUUUGGUUUCUAUGACUGUGUGCUAAGUGAUAACUUUAUUUUCCAUGCGCUUUUUCUUUUUGAACCAAUGGUAAUUAUUUCUGCAUGUAGAAUACUUUGCUUUCAUUUAGAUUUCACUUAAUGCAAAGGCAUCAUUUGCACGUUGUCUGCCUAUGCUCUUGUCUUAUUAGUUUAUUAUGAUUAAAGUGGUACUAGUUGGAGUCAUAAACUCAAUUUGGCUCUGAAAAUAUAAAGCAAUUCCCAGUUAUAAAGUAUUCAUCAGAUGAUCUAGAGCAUGCCUAUAUGUGUCAGUUUAUCACUGCAACAAAACACACGCAAAUGCAGUCACAAAUACUAUGCAGUCACAAAUAAGUCCUCACAGAGAACUAAUGGUACCUGAGUAUAUGUCUGAGAUUGAGUAAGAUUGUAGUUGAUCACUAAAGGUCAUUUUACAAUCAGAAAAUAUAAGUGUUAUAGAAACUCAGAGAGGAAAGAUCAUUUUGUGUUGAUAUGAGUUAAGUAAGUUUUAUGGAAAAGACAAGACUUUGGAGACUAGUUAUUGUGGUGUAAGAUACAUUUAGUCAUGGUCUUAGAGGCAGGUAUGUAGGUGAUGGAAGAUGAGGUCUUACCUAAAUAGGAUUUUAUUCUUUAAUCUUUGGAUUUCUGAAAUAGCAUGCAGAAUUCACGUGACAAAGAGAGAGAAUGCAGGACUGUACACUGUUGGGAGAAGAAUUAGAUUUAUUGGAAGUUACCUAAUUAAAAGUAUAAAGAAUUUAGGUUUUCUCCCUUGUGAUACAAUUAGGCAGUGGCUCUAUGAUUCAUAAAGCAGCUCAUUUUAGGGGAAACACUGUUUUCAAGGGAAUAUUUCUGUUGUGACCAGAAAGAUUUUGUGUUUCUUGGACUCGCUAGCCUUGAAAUGCCCUAGUUAUUGACCAAAGGAGAGAAUGUUUGCUUUCAUACUACAGACCCUUGUGGUCCUUCUCUGUAUUGAUUUCCCCCUUCUCUAGCCUAUGUUGAGCUUUGAAAUCAGUAAGAACACUAGUAUAUCAUGUAUUCACAGUCCGGAAUUCUUGCACUAAGGGGAUAUGUCUGCUGAAUAACUGUAGAAGAUAGUUUAUAAGUUGUUAGUUUUUAGUUAUGGGCUGAAUUAAGAGCCCCCCCUCCCAAUUCAUAUGUUAACCCUCCAGUUGUGACUGUAUCUCAAGACAGUCUUUAUGAGGUGAUUAAAGUUAACUGAGAUCACAGGAUGGGGCCCUAAUGUGACAGAAUUGGUGGCUUUAUAUGAAGAGGAAUCUCUCUCCACUCUCCUUCCCCCGGCCACCACGUGAGGACAAAGCAACAAGGCAGAAGGCAGCCAUCUGUAAGCCAAGAAGAGAACCUAGCUAGAACCUAACUAUGCUGACACUCUGAUCUUGGAUUCCUAGCCUCUAGGACAAAUAAAUGACUAUUUCUUAAGCCACAUGGGCUCUAUUUUAUUAUGGCAGCCUGAACUGACCAUACAGUAUUAAACAAAAUUACUUCUGACCUGCACUGUUUCCUCUUAUUUUCAUUUUCUUUGAUACAUAUUCCUUUGUCUAGCAAUAAGGUCUCCCUGUUGAGAGCAUGGACGAUGGUAUGAUAAUUUUGCCUGGUUUGGUUUUAUUCCAGACCGUCUUAUAAAGGCAAGAAGCUAUGUUUCAGUUGACCUCUAGAAUUUUAUUUGCAGAACAAUUUCCGGGUGGCAUAAGACCGUAUUCACUGGUGAAAUAUGGUUCUUGUUUCUGGCAAAAUUUGCAAAAUUGCUCCAGGUGCAGGGUGAGUUCUUUUGCCUAGGGAGAGGAGAAAUUUCACAGGUUUCAUUUUGUGAAACUUAAUUCAUGCCUCUAAAAAACUAUAAAAUAUGGAGACUAAAUAUAGUCUGUCAAGGGUAUGAAAUGUGAAUGAACAGCAGCAGAAACCAAAUUUGUAGAAGAGAAAAUGAUCUGAACCAGAAGCUUUGGGCUUAUUUAAAUUCUCCACGUUACAUUCCCAGACAUCUGCCUGAACAACAGAAUGAAAUUCCUGAUUAUGGAAAUGGGAGGACGCAAGUGUGGGGCCUGCUUGUCUCUGGGCUUUCAGGCAGGCGUUGUCGCAGGUUUAAUGGACCUUUUCUCUGGCCGUGGAUUGUCAGUCAAAGCACUGUCAGAGGAGUGACUUCUGAUGGGAAACUGCAGGAACCUUUGGGGAGGGGGAGGGUCAGAACUCCCUCAGAAGAGGAGCAGCCCUGGCUCUGCACGCUUUGCCCACCCACCCUCAGCUUUAACACCUUUCACUUCAUUGCUCACGAUGUGAUCGACCACAGGGUGACUGUUUACGUUUGGAUUCAGAUUGUUUCUGAAACGUAUAUCAGGUCAAUCGUGCACUAUUUGCAUCCUAGAAAAGAAAGCAGAGCAAAGCAAAGUGACAAGCCUUUAGCUCCCACCCAGGGAGGAGUUCCUGAUGGAGGGUUUUAGGUUAAGGUCAAUCUGGAUGGGGCAAAGGGUGAGCAUAUUUGCAGGUAUGAAACUUAGUCCAUCAAGGAAGCUCCCGUCGAACCACAAGGUUGAAAUACUCCUUUACACUGAGGUUGUAUUUAAUUUCAGGGCCUUAUUUAGUGCUGAAGAUAAUCCAAAGCGCUCAUAUAUGAUACAGGCGGUCCUCUAUCUUUAUUAGUGUUUAGGUUGAUCUUUCCCAUCUGAUUUUCAGUGGAGUCCACCAGGGACCUAUUCUGAAGUUGCUUGGGGUCCGGAUCUCCCUGGUUUCACCAUCGUGACCCUUUCAGGGGCACGAGUCAUGCUGCUGUGCCCAUGGAGCAUGGGCUGUGAAGCCUGGGGGCCCUCUGCAGCCCUUCAUUGCCUCCCUGCUGUGCCAAGGCACUCAGGAAUCACUCCCCUGCUCCCUGGGGCUGUGCAGGCUUGUGUGCCAAGGCACAUCAUCAGGAUAUCUGUGCUCAGAUGUCUUUCUGCUUUUCUGAUUAAAAGAUGGGCAUCAGUCCCCUCUGAAUUCAGAUCCCCCAGACCAACCUGAUAUGUCUUCUGACUCUGCCCCAUGUCUGGACUUCCAGUUCAUAAUUCCCCCUCCUAAUUCUCAACUCUGGUAACCCAGGAUAACUAUUCAUUAUUUGCUGCCCCUCUGACUCCCCUCCCCUGAAGCUCUGCCAACAACCAAUCUUGAUACCUGUGGAUUCUUUAAUCCUGAUCUU